Long non-coding RNA from Thamnophis elegans (Western terrestrial garter snake), 169 nucleotides. RefSeq lists it as uncharacterized. Lineage: Eukaryota; Metazoa; Chordata; Lepidosauria; Squamata; Natricidae. The transcript is spliced from 2 exons. The record is from RefSeq and is a predicted model, not a curated record.
CUCGCGUCACGUGAUGAUCCCGGAGACUCUAAUAUGGCGGCGUCCAUGACCCCGCCGCCUGCGCCAGUUGAGGGGAUGGUGAAAUUGAGCCACAAAAGGUAUAGAGCACUUUUGAAGAAAGAGAAGCGGAAGAAAAGGAGACAAUCUCUAGCAAGACUGAGAGAUUCAG